Non-coding RNA from Pelobates cultripes (western spadefoot toad), 956 nucleotides. The record is from the annotation of a GenBank genome assembly. Lineage: Eukaryota; Metazoa; Chordata; Amphibia; Anura; Pelobatidae.
GGGAGCUAGUAGAAUCGGUUAUAUUGUGUUUGUAUGCUUGUGUGUGCCUGUGUGUGUCAUUGUCUCAUGUGCCUGUCUGUGUCUGUAUACCUUUUUGUGUAUCCCUGUACCUGUCUGCAUCUCUGUUGCCUGUGUGUGCCCUCAUGUUUCGAUCUGUACUUGUCUUCUCUGUAAAUAUGUGUGCCUGUCUGUGAUAUGUGUGCCUGUGUAUCAGGGCUGUACUGGGGAAACAAUUUGGCCCAGCAUAUUUAAAUCACAGCAGGCACCAAAAGGGGGCGGGCCAGGGAGGGUAUGUUUUGUCAUCAACAAUCACAAGCAAGCCCCUUCUCAAAGUGAGCAUGUUGGUUUAAUGUUAUUCCAGGGCAGCCCAUGCACAGAGCCCUGCUGAAGAGCUCUCGAAUGAGAAAAACACCCUGAAUUUGUUCUGCACAGUGCUAGCAAAUCUAUUAACAUACAAAAUACCAAGUAGAUAAGCUGGCGCAGACCAAAUUAUUAAAAACAAUACGUGGGUUAAUAUGCAGCACCAACAGAAUAUCUAGGUAAUAUGGUACAGACAAAUAUAAAAACAGCAAAAGUGCUAGUGCGCAAGAGUAUAUAUACCAAGACACCUUAAGUGUGGAGAAGUGACUCUAAGAUGUAUAUGAGAGAAUUAUAAUCCCCAACAAGAACCAUAUGUGUCAGACAUUGAAAAAUUAAUGAUCAGAUGAAGUGAUCCUAUGAUCACGAAACGCGUAAGGCGGCACUCUACAUCGAUUUCCAGGAGAGCAGGCUGGAACGCAUCCAGAGCCGCAGUGGAACGCACGCGGCUGACAGCCAGUUCUCACGCAGCACGAGGAGGUUCACACUCGAUUUCAUCCGGCCGGUGAGAAAGUUAUUUACAUCAUUUGGACCCUCAGACUGUAAACUUGGCAGCAACUGCUCUUCACAUUUGGGAAUCUAUUUGUCUUUUAUAUAAA